UCCUGACUGACCGAUAGUGAACCAGUACCGUGAGGGAAAGGCGAAAAGAACCCCGGCGAGGGGAGUGAAAAAGAACCUGAAACCGUGUACGUACAAGCAGUGGGAGCACGCUUAGGCGUGUGACUGCGUACCUUUUGUAUAAUGGGUCAGCGACUUAUAUUCUGUAGCAAGGUUAACCGAAUAGGGGAGCCGAAGGGAAACCGAGUCUUAACUGGGCGUUAAGUUGCAGGGUAUAGACCCGAAACCCGGUGAUCUAGCCAUGGGCAGGUUGAAGGUUGGGUAACACUAACUGGAGGACCGAACCGACUAAUGUUGAAAAAUUAGCGGAUGACUUGUGGCUGGGGGUGAAAGGCCAAUCAAACCGGGAGAUAGCUGGUUCUCCCCGAAAGCUAUUUAGGUAGCGCCUCGUGAAUUCAUCUCCGGGGGUAGAGCACUGUUUCGGCAAGGGGGUCAUCCCGACUUACCAACCCGAUGCAAACUGCGAAUACCGGAGAAUGUUAUCACGGGAGACACACGGCGGGUGCUAACGUCCGUCGUGAAGAGGGAAACAACCCAGACCGCCAGCUAAGGUCCCAAAGUCAUGGUUAAGUGGGAAACGAUGUGGGAAGGCCCAGACAGCCAGGAUGUUGGCUUAGAAGCAGCCAUCAUUUAAAGAAAGCGUAAUAGCUCACUGGUCGAGUCGGCCUGCGCGGAAG
This 695-nucleotide ribosomal RNA is filed under the name Shigella sonnei. RNAcentral's name for it is "partial 23S ribosomal RNA". It matches the Rfam family "Bacterial large subunit ribosomal RNA", at positions 474 to 1169 of the family's 2925-position model. Lineage: Bacteria; Pseudomonadati; Pseudomonadota; Gammaproteobacteria; Enterobacterales; Enterobacteriaceae. The record is from RNAcentral.